GGGCGUAAGCGUGCGCAGGCGGUUAUUUAAGACUGAUGUGAAAUCCCCCGGCUCAACCUGGGAACUGCAUUUGUGACUGCGUGACUUGAGUGCGGAAGAGGGGGAUGGAAUUCCAUGUGUAGCGGUGAAAUGCGUAGAUAUGUGGAGGAACACCGAUGGCGAAGGCGACCUUCUGGUCUGGUACUGACACUGAUGCGCGAAAGCGUGGGGAGCAAACAGGAUUAGAUACCCUGGUAGUCCACGCCCUAAACGAUGACUGCUGGUUGUUGGAAGGUUUCCUUCUUUUUAUGCUAACUUUCACGCGAUAUUCACUCCCCCGGGAGAGUACGGGCGCGGUGCUGACUCUCAGGAGUUUUGACGGACGCCCGCACACGCGGUGAGAAUGUGUGUUUUAUUUCAAAGCCACGCAAAAAACCUUACCCCGUCUGUGACGUCCUCUGAUUUCCCUAGAUAUAUUGCUGCUCCUUCGAGAACAUACAGACAGGUGCUGCAUGGUUGUCGUCAGCUCGUGUCGUGAGAUGUUGGGUUAAGUCCCGCAACGAGCGCAACCCUUGACCUUAGUUG
This 564-nucleotide ribosomal RNA is filed under the name Bacillus cereus. Its description in RNAcentral is "bacterial SSU rRNA". It matches the Rfam family "Bacterial small subunit ribosomal RNA", at positions 557 to 1117 of the family's 1533-position model. Lineage: Bacteria; Bacillati; Bacillota; Bacilli; Caryophanales; Bacillaceae. The record is from RNAcentral.